GUCUACAGCCAUGCCACCCCAAACGUGCCCAAUCUCAUCUGAUCUAGAAGCUAAGCAGGGUCAGGCCUGGUGAGUACUUGCAUGGGAGAUCACCUAGGAAUACCAGGUGCUGUAGGCA
RNAcentral lists this ribosomal RNA (118 nucleotides) under Pteropus alecto (black flying fox). Lineage: Eukaryota; Metazoa; Chordata; Mammalia; Chiroptera; Pteropodidae. The record is from RNAcentral.